UACGUAGGGUGCGAGCGUUAAUCGGAAUUACUGGGCGUAAAGCGUGCGCAGGCGGUUUUGUAAGUCUGUCGUGAAAAUCCCCGGGCUCAACCUGGGAAUUGCGAUGGAGACUGCAAGGCUAGAAUCUGGCAGAGGGGGGUAGAAUUCCACGUGUAGCAGUGAAAUGCGUAGAGAUGUGGAGGAACACCGAUGGCGAAGGCAGCCCCCUGGGUCAAGAUUGACGCUCAUGCACGAAAGGCGU
Molecule: ribosomal RNA, 241 nt
Filed under: uncultured bacterium
Lineage: Bacteria
Description: partial 16S ribosomal RNA
Rfam family: Bacterial small subunit ribosomal RNA
Source: RNAcentral